UGCCUUUGUCAUUCGUUGCCC
RNAcentral lists this non-coding RNA (21 nucleotides) under Caenorhabditis elegans. Lineage: Eukaryota; Metazoa; Nematoda; Chromadorea; Rhabditida; Rhabditidae. The record is from RNAcentral.